ACUCCCAACCCAAUGUGAACCAUACCAAACUGUUGCCUCGGCGGGGUCACGCCCCGGGUGCGUCGCAGCCCCGGAACCAGGCGCCCGCCGGAGGGACCAACCAAACUCUUUUCUGUAGUCCCCUCGCGGACGUUAUUUCUUACAGCUCUGAGCAAAAAUUCAAAAUGAAUCAAAACUUUCAACAACGGAUCUCUUGGUUCUGGCAUCGAUGAAGAACGCAGCGAAAUGCGAUAAGUAAUGUGAAUUGCAGAAUUCAGUGAAUCAUCGAAUCUUUGAACGCACAUUGCGCCCGCCAGUAUUCUGGCGGGCAUGCCUGUCCGAGCGUCAUUUCAACCCUCGAACCCCUCCGGGGGGUCGGCGUUGGGGACCUCGGGAGCCCCUAAGACGGGAUCCCGGCCCCGAAAUACAGUGGCGGUCUCGCCGCAGCCUCUCCUGCGCAGUAGUUUGCACAACUCGCACCGGGAGCGCGGCGCGUCCACGUCCGUAAAACACCCAACUUUCUGAAAUGUUGACCUCGGAUCAGGUAGGAAUACCCGCUGAACUUAAGCAUAUCAAUAA
Molecule: ribosomal RNA, 558 nt
Filed under: fungal sp. AM2013
Lineage: Eukaryota; Fungi
Description: eukaryotic LSU rRNA
Rfam family: 5.8S ribosomal RNA (bases 174-327)
Source: RNAcentral